UGCUUAAAGCCAUGUCAUGCAAGAGAGGU
Molecule: non-coding RNA, 29 nt
Filed under: Rattus norvegicus (Norway rat)
Lineage: Eukaryota; Metazoa; Chordata; Mammalia; Rodentia; Muridae
Source: RNAcentral